RNAcentral lists this long non-coding RNA (611 nucleotides) under Homo sapiens (human). RNAcentral's name for it is "HSALNT0308589". The record is from RNAcentral. Lineage: Eukaryota; Metazoa; Chordata; Mammalia; Primates; Hominidae.
GAUAUGCUGUCUGCAAGCUGAGGAAGAAGGAAGCCAAUAGUGGCUCAGUCAGAGUUCAGAAGCCUCAAAAGCAGGGAAGCUGAUAGUAUAGCCUUCAGUCUGUGGCUGAAGGCCUGAGAGCCCCUGGAAAACCACUGGUGUAAGUCCAAGAGUCCAGAAGCUGAAGAACCUGGAGUCUGAUGACCAAGGGCAGGAAGCAUCCAGCACGGGACAAAGAAGAAAGCCAGAAGACUCAGCAAGCCAGCUCAUCUCACUUUCUUCUGCCUACUUUGUUGUAGCUGAGCUGGCAGCCAGUUGGAUGGUGCACACUCACAUUGAGGAUUGGGAGGCUGCUGUGUAUGGAUAAGAUACCUGCUACAGCCAGCUUGACACCAUGAGAAGGACAAGAGAAUUGCAGAGACACAUAUCCAGGAUUCUGAUCCAGUUGAGGCACUGAAAUAAUCUAGAACCACCUUCAAAUUUCUUAUAAAGAGAGUACUGACGGGGUUUCACCAUGUUGGCCGGGCUGGUCCCAAACUCCUGACCUCAAGUGAUCUGCCUGCCUCGGCCUCUCAAAGUGCUGGGAUUAUAGGCUUGAGCUACUGUGCCCAGCUGAGAGCAAUUUUUAAAAG